Molecule: ribosomal RNA, 253 nt
Filed under: uncultured bacterium
Lineage: Bacteria
Description: partial 16S ribosomal RNA
Rfam family: Bacterial small subunit ribosomal RNA
Source: RNAcentral
UACGUAGGGGGCAAGCGUUGUCCGGAAUUAUUGGGCGUAAAGAGCGUGUAGGCGGGCUGACAAGUCUGGGGUGAAAUGCCGCGGCUCAACCGUGGAACUGCCUUAGAUACUGUCGGCCUCGAGGAAGGUAGGGGCAUGCGGAACUGUAGGUGGAGCGGUGAAAUGCGUUGAUAUCUACAGGAACUCCGGUGGCGAAAGCGGCGUGCUGGACCUUUUCUGACGCUGAGGCGCGAAAGCUAGGGGAGCAAACGGG